AGAACGAACGCUGGCGGCAUGCCUAACACAUGCAAGUCGAACGAGACCGCUGACUUCGGUUGGCGCGUCUAGUGGCGCACGGGUGCGUAACGCGUGGGAAUCUGCCCUUGGGUACGGAAUAACAGUUAGAAAUGACUGCUAAUACCGUAUAAUGACUUCGGUCCAAAGAUUUAUCGCCCAGGGAUGAGCCCGCGUAGGAUUAGCUUGUUGGUGAGGUAAAAGCUCACCAAGGCGACGAUCCUUAGCUGGUCUGAGAGGAUGAUCAGCCACACUGGGACUGAGACACGGCCCAGACUCCUACGGGAGGCAGCAGUGGGGAAUAUUGGACAAUGGGCGAAAGCCUGAUCCAGCAAUGCCGCGUGAGUGAUGAAGGCCUUAGGGUUGUAAAGCUCUUUUGCCCGGGAUGAUAAUGACAGUACCGGGAGAAUAAGCUCCGGCUAACUCCGUGCCAGCAGCCGC
Molecule: ribosomal RNA, 459 nt
Filed under: uncultured bacterium
Lineage: Bacteria
Description: SSU rRNA
Rfam family: Bacterial small subunit ribosomal RNA
Source: RNAcentral